UUAUCUUUUCACCUGCAAAUAGUAAACAUCGAAUGAUUUGAUCGUAUGGUAGUUUUUCAAAUGUGUUGAAACUCAUUCUUUCAAUUAUUGAUUUUACUAUGCCGUCUCAUAUUAAUCCUGCAUAUAAAAAUGAAGAUGAAUUUUCUUUGGGUGAUAAAGCAAGUUCAAGCGAUCAUUUUAACAGUAUAACAUUUAAAACGGAUGUUAUGUCCAGCAGGUCACCGAAUGGACUCAAAGUUUAUAAUUCAAGGCAGCGAUACAUUACUGUAUCUGUAUUAUGCUUCAUAAAUUUGAUUAAUUAUGUGGAUAGAUUUACUAUUGCAGGUAUCUUAAAUCAUGUCCAGAAAUUCUAUUCUUUGGAUAACACAGAAGGUGGCCUACUUCAAACCUCAUUUGUUGUCAGCUACAUGAUAAUGGCACCUGUGUUUGGAUACUUAGGAGACCGUUAUAGCAGGAAAAUUAUCAUUGCAUUUGGAGUCACAUUUUGGAGUUUGACUACUCUCUUAGGAUCUUUCAUUCCAUCUCAUCUUUUUGGUGUAUUUAUUUUCCUUCGUGCACUUGUUGGUACUGGAGAAGCUAGUUAUUCCACAAUAGCUCCUACUAUUAUUGCUGACCUAUUUUCCAAAGACAAAAGAUCAAAAAUGUUAGCAAUUUUUUACUUUGCUAUUCCUGUUGGAAGUGGACUUGGCUAUAUUAUUGGAGCACAAAUUCUUCAGGCAACUGGUGAAUGGCAGUGGGCCCUCCGUAUUACGCCAAUAUUUGGUUUCAUAUCUGUUGUUCUUACAUUUUUGUAUGUGAAAGAUCCACCAAGAGGGGAAGCUGAAGGUGGCACUGUUUUUGAGAAAUCAACUUUAUCUGCUGAUUUGUUAUACUUAUGCAAAACGAAAUCGUUUGUGUAUUCAACAUUGGGAUUCACAAGUGUAACUUUUGCAACUGGUGCUUUAGGGUGGUUUGGACCAGUAUAUAUGGAACUAGCACUAGCUAAACAGUCAUUAGAUCCAGUAUCAUCUAAUGCUCCCUUGAUAUUUGGAAUCAUCACUUGUAUUGCUGGUAUUGUUGGAGUUCUUAUUGGAUCCUUUGCUUCCACAUAUUUAAGGAGGUUUCAUGCAAAAGCUGAUCCUUUAAUCUGCGCAUAUGGAGUUUUAGCUAGUGUACCUCUUAUAUUUGCUGGUGUUGUAGUUUCUGAAUAUAGCAUCAUAACAUCAUGGGUCCUUAUCUUUAUUGGAGAAGUUUGCUUAUGUGUCAAUUGGACUAUUGUCGCAGAUAUGCUGCUGUAUGUUAUUAUUCCUACGAGAAGAUCAAUAGCUGAGGCUGUUCAAAUACUUGUAUCUCACGCUUUUGGUGAUGCAUGUAGUCCUUACAUAAUUGGGCAGGUUUCAGAUUCAAUUUUCAUGUCAUCAGAUACCAGCAUUCAUAAAUAUCUGAGUCUGCAAUAUGCUUUAUACAUACCUACUGGUGUGCUUGUUAUUGGUGCGUUUUUCUUUUUCCUCACAGCCUUACACAUUGAAAAAGACAAAGCAAAAUGCAGUUUUGCAACACAUGAUGCUGAUUGAAAAUAUUUUUGUUCAGUUGAUAUGGUUUUAUAAGUUAAAAGCAAAAGGAGUUUUUAAUACAAGGUCUUUACCCUCCUCUGCAUAUUUUUGCUGAAGAUCCAAUUCAAAUACCAGCUGAUGAAAUCAGUGAUUCAAGACAUCUCUUGUAAAAGCAAACUUUUUUUUUUUAAUGAAAUGCUAUUUAGAUUCUGCCAAAAAAGUGUCAAUAAUUUCAAAUUAUUUAUUUGUACUAUAUUUUGUUAUAUAUUUUAUUUAUUUAAGUCUGUAUGUGUAAUAAACUACAUGCAUGCCAAUGAUGUGAUAUAUCUGUGAUAUAUUUUGUAUGUAAUUUUAUCAUGCCGAUGUGCUUAUUUCCUAGUUUCUGAGAAUGUCAACAAGGUAUCAGAUUCACCUUAUGUACUUCCAGUGGAAAAUGCAUUCAUGUCACAAAUAGAUAAAACAACAAGAAGCUCCCUUGAAUUAAAAUGUUCUCACGAAGUUACUUCUUUAUAACUUGAGUGGA
Argiope bruennichi is the source of this 2055-nucleotide RNA transcript. It is a transcript of the gene named protein spinster homolog 3-like, with no coding region annotated. The transcript is spliced from 12 exons. NCBI's taxonomy places the organism in Eukaryota, Metazoa, Arthropoda, Arachnida, Araneae, Araneidae. The record is from RefSeq and is a predicted model, not a curated record.